RNAcentral lists this ribosomal RNA (147 nucleotides) under Alphaproteobacteria bacterium. RNAcentral describes it as "partial 16S ribosomal RNA". It matches the Rfam family "Bacterial small subunit ribosomal RNA", at positions 1 to 147 of the family's 1533-position model. The record is from RNAcentral. Lineage: Bacteria; Pseudomonadati; Pseudomonadota; Alphaproteobacteria.
CAACAUGAGAGUUUGAUCCUGGCUCAGAACGAACGCUGGCGGCAUGCUUAACACAUGCAAGUCGAACGAUUUAUACAUUUUCGGAUGUAUAGGUAGUGGCAGACGGGUGAGUAACGCGUGGAAACUUGCCUAUAGGCGAAGGAUAAC